This 41-nucleotide small RNA is filed under the name Arabidopsis thaliana (thale cress). RNAcentral's name for it is "ATSL009150". Lineage: Eukaryota; Viridiplantae; Streptophyta; Magnoliopsida; Brassicales; Brassicaceae. The record is from RNAcentral.
AUCUUAGAGAGGAGAAGAAGAAGAAGAAGAAAAAUAAAAGA